UAGUUGGAUUUCAGGUUUUACCCAUGAUGCGUCUUAUAGUAUCUUCAACAGUUUUUGUGGGUAGCCUGCGCAUGCGCGGCUAACCACUAUGUGUGACUAUGUAGUCGAAAAAGUGUCCGGAUCUGUGUGUGAUUGUGUGUGUUUGUGGCAAUCUUUGGCAAUCGUCGGACAUACGAAAGAUGACGAACGAGCUUACAGUGAUCGCUAAAUUGUGACGAGGCAUGGAUAUAACUCCAAAGAACUCCACAUUCAGAUGCGCGGAAAUAUGAAAAAUCAAAUUUUGAGAAGUUGAAAUAUAAUCAGUAUCGAUAGUUCUAAAUAUUUUAAGCGGCAGUUUUGAAACGAAAUGGAGAAUUGUCGGGAAGCAUUAAAGACCAUCCUUGAAAUGGCUGAACAAUCGGAACUUCUUCUUUGUGCAAUGUAAAACCGAGCAUUCCUGCCACCAAACAUGCUGUAUCUGACUGACUACCAUCAGGACUUUCAAUUUCAAGCGGCACAGAUAACAGACCACUGGUA
Dendronephthya gigantea is the source of this 516-nucleotide long non-coding RNA. RefSeq lists it as uncharacterized. The transcript has 3 exons. Lineage: Eukaryota; Metazoa; Cnidaria; Anthozoa; Malacalcyonacea; Nephtheidae. The record is from RefSeq and is a predicted model, not a curated record.